RNAcentral lists this long non-coding RNA (3618 nucleotides) under Apis florea (little honeybee). RNAcentral's name for it is "uncharacterized LOC116413990, transcript variant X2". Lineage: Eukaryota; Metazoa; Arthropoda; Insecta; Hymenoptera; Apidae. The record is from RNAcentral.
CCUCGAAUAUUGAAAUAUAGCGCGACACGUAGGAACACGAGACACAGUAGAAAAAGUGAAGAAACUCGAGAAAACUCGGGAGGGAGGGAUUCACGGGGCACCGUGUGUCUCGGUUAUUCAUAUUUUAUUCGGUCUCGACCCGGUCGGGUCGUGGGCCGCUCUGGGUUCUCGGCACUCGGGGCGGUCGGUAUAUUUCUAAAAAUAGUGGUGCAUCGAAUAACGAGCCGGCCGCGCGCCGCGAACAGUUGAAGUUUGCAUUGUGAACGCGUACAGUCCUGUAUACUGUACUGCUCUACUCCCAUGUAACCGAAGAUUUGACCCAAUGACCCAACGGACGGAGCCGAAACUAGGCGGAAACGGCCGAUCUCCUGUUUCGCCCGUCUCUCACUCUGUCUCUUGCGCACCCACCGGCGACCGCCUCUCUCUCUCUCUCGCUUCUCUGCGCUGUUUUACACUCGUAUUUUUCUUCCUUUCGUUCACCUUUGUACUCGAGUCGAAGUUAAGCUAAUCCACCGUUAAACAAGUAAACUGAGAACACGGCGCAGAAUGUCUCUAUUCUCCAUCGAAUGACGAAAAGCAAAGAAGCAAUAAAGGAGAAGACAAAGCGUCUCUAAGGUGGCUCGACCGUCUAAAAGCAACUAUUCUACACGUUUUUCAAGAAUUAGGUAGCCGUCCCUAUGGGUUUUGUCCGCGGGCAAAGAAAGCAUCGAAGUAAAGAGAAUGGAUGAUAUCGCAGGAGCAACUCGUACGAUCAGCCCGCAAGUAACCCGAGAUAAGAAUAAGAACCGUCCAGAGAAUUGGUGAAAUUAUACGAUUUUUUUUUUUCUCCUACGAUAUAUGGAUUUCGAAGGAACGUUAAUCCUUCUCCAUAAAUUUAUUUCUCCAACGUUCGAUCUCCCAAUCCUUUUCUUAAUUUUUUUUCCAUUGCAUCUCCAGAUAGAAUCCGACUGUUCGCGACACGAAUCUCGACCGAUUGUGAAAUCCAAAUUAUCCAAAGUGACGAAAUGAGAAAGAAUUUUAAAUCAGCAGCGAAUAUACAGAGAGAGAGCAGAGAUAUAUUUCGGGAGCAAACCGUCAGAGUGAAGUUGAGACAACGGUUUCCCAUUUUCCGAUCGGUGUUCCCCUCCUCUGUCGUCGACACUUCCGGGGGAUCAGCUUGUCGCUGGGAGGAGUGCCAGAGCGCUGCUCGAUGAGAAGAAAGGCGAAGGAAAAGGGCAAAGACCGUGGCGGGAAAGAGGUCACCCGGAUUUCGAGCGGGCUUUGCCUCACCAGAGAAAACCGGAGUCGUGUCUCAAGGUGGCCCAUCGUUUUUCGCAAGGGGAGUUUUUGGCACCACGGUCGCCCUCCUUUGCCCACUCGGAAUGAUCGAUCGAUCCAAAACUAUGCUUUUAUCGCUACGAUUUUAGUCGAUAAGGAUAGAGAGAACAAAUGUGUAAUUGCUUCAAAGGAUACUAUUCUUAUAUAUAUGAUCACUUUCUGGCCGACCCAUCGCCCUGCCUCGUCCACCACUUUACAAUUUACCUUGGAAAAAGAGGCUGUUCAACUUAAUUGAAUUCACGCCCUACGAGUAUAACGCGAGGAGCAAUUAAAAGAGCGAUGAAGUAGCCCUUCGGGGGAAGCACUCUGAAAAAUAACGUUCAUUUUGCUCGAAGAAAUCAUCUUCGCUUAUCCGGGAGAUGGCGAUUCCACGAUAAUGAAAGCUCGAGAGAAUGGAGAUCUGAAUCCGACUUCGACCAACGUUGGAUCACACGCGUGCGGUGUUGGAGAAGCGUUUUCGAAACUUUUGGCCAGGGAUGGCCGACAGGGUCUUCGAAGGCGUCGCGAUCGAUUGACCUUCCUCGACUGCGUUUCCGGCCUUACCUUGCACCUGCGAGAAGGCAAAGGGCAAACGAGAUUGACAGAUUGAUAAAUAGCUCGAGAAACCAGCGUGAACAAGAGCGAUGUUAACGAGUUAAGAUACGUUCGAAAGGAUAAUGAAAUUAACAUAUUCGAUCGGGUCGAUUUUUUAUCAGAAAUUUUAAUUACACGAGAAUUAUGCGUUGAGAAUAUAGAAUAGAUCCUUUGGACAAGUUAUCGUCGAUUCGGUUUAACACGUUCGUCAUCCACAUUUGGGUGAGAAGAAAAGAGGCGUUGUUACGAAUCUCCACCGAUAAUACAGAACCGACUUGAAGUUGGUCAACCAUCAAUUAGAGGCUUACAUUCGGAAUGCUUAAGAUCGACUUUGGAAAGUUUUGGAACGGUUGAAACGGACAAAGAAGUAGAAGUAGAGGCACUGAGAGCAUAACUGAUUCAGGAUUCAAGUGGUUACAGUUUACGUUCUUACAAUCUUUCGUACAGUGACAUUUCGACCUCGGUGAGAAACACGACUGAAUCACGCUGGCUGACGAACGUUCCUCGAAAAAGGAUUAAUUAAGUGCACGUGUACACUCGAAAAGUCCCCGUUUUCCCAAAUUCCGUCCCCGUAUCGCUCGUACAUCGCGAGAGGACGUCUCGCGUACGAAAAGUUCGCGGCCCCUUAAAUUCGUAACGUGGAAUGACGUCAUUGGUGAGCGCGCGCGCAAACGUCCCUGUUUCGCGAUCCGCAAACGUCGUUUCCCGUCGAUUCGUGCCACGGGGGCACCGCCAUCGUAAAGCCAUUUCGGGGAUCUCGCGGCACAUAAAUUAUAAAAUCGACCGACGCCGGAUCGUCUGUGCAACGGCCGGCAUCUGGGACGCCGCGGAAGAAUAUUCCCCUCGCUUGUUCGAUUCCGUUUAUUACUUCAGAUUUAUACUCGAUCGAGUGCAAUGGAAACGUUCUACUCGUUUAGGAGAACUUCUCGAAACGAUUUCCACCCAUAUUUUUAUUCCUCCAGCUCGUGAACGUGACGAAACGAGAGAGUCAAAAACAAGAACUAAUAUCGCGAAGAACGAAGAAUUGCGGAGGAGGGAAGAGGAUUGUCGAGGAUGAAAGAGAAAGGUACAACACAAUCGAUCCUCGACACUCGUCACUUGCGUUCACAAUUGGAUGAACGGUCUCGUCGCAUCUUGUCUCACACUGAUACGAUUAAACGAGGAAGAAUAUGAAACGACGUCGAGUGUUUCUACUCUAAAAAAGGAUUGACACGAUAGGUGAUAUAUUUCGUCUAUUGUGGAUGAAAAAAAGAAUCCAUGGAUAUUGAGAAUGCACCGACUCCGACGAUCGAGGUGAAUUUGGCAGAAAUCCAGAACCACCGUCACCAAAAAGAAUGAAAAUCCACGACACGGCCGAUAAUCAUCGUAAACGUUGUCGAAGUCGAAUCGAGGAGGAUCGACGUCAAGAAUGAAUUAAAUAACGCGUGCGUGAAUUUUCGAUGAAGAGAAAAGGAUCUGUUUCGUAUCGUGAUCAAUCGUUCGUGCAGACCACGUUGACUCUAUCCACACAGGAGUAUAUAGCGUAAGCGUUGUUCUAUGGCUAUAAUUUGCUCGUAAAUCGAUCGAGUGUUUAACAAUGGAAAAAUGGAAUAAUGGAAAUUGAUGUAUGUCAAAGAGUUCUGAUAAAUUUGGGUAAACAAAUAGAAUAGGAAGAUACUCCGCUGGAAAUAUGUUCUUUGAUAUAAGGAUAGAAAAAAUAUUUUGAAAAUUCUAAGCUUGGAACGAUAU